RNAcentral lists this ribosomal RNA (867 nucleotides) under uncultured archaeon. RNAcentral describes it as "bacterial SSU rRNA". It matches the Rfam family "Archaeal small subunit ribosomal RNA", at positions 21 to 903 of the family's 1478-position model. The record is from RNAcentral.
CCUGACUGCUUUCGGAUUGAUACUAGCUCCUGCGAGUCAUUGUUCAAUACAAGGCUUACGGCUCAACUUCCCGUAGUCAACCUACCCUAUGGACGGGGAUAACCUCAGGAAACUGAGAAUAAUACCAUAUACAACAUUAUUCCUGGAAUGGUUUAUGUUUCAAAUAAUUUAUUGCCGUAGGAUGGGACUGCGGUCUAUCCCUUUGUUGGUGAGGUAUUGGCCCACCAAGACUAUUAUACGGACGGGCUCUGAGAGGAGUAGCCCGGAGAUGGGUACUGAGACACGGACCCAGGCCCUAUGGGGCGCAGCAGGCGAAAAAACUUUGCAAUGUGCAAAAGCACGACAAGGUUUUCCGAGUGGUUUCUGCUAAAGGAACCUUUUGUCUUCCUAGAAACACUGUUGAAUAACGGGUGGGCAAGUUCUGGUGUCAGCCGCCGCGGUAAAACCACUUCCUCUCGUGGUCAGGAUGAUUAUUGUUACUAAAGUAUCCGUAGCCUGCUUUGUCAGUUUUCGGUUAAAUCCAUACACUUAACGUAUGGGCUGACGGACAUACUGUGCAGCUAGGCAGUGGGACAGGUAGACGGUACUCGGUACGAAGGCGUAAAAUCCUUUGAUCUAUUGAUGACCACCUGUGGCGAAGGCGAUCUACCACAUCACGUCCGACCGUGAGCGAUGAAAACUCGAUGAGCAAACCGAUAUAGAUACCCGGGCAGACCCAUCUGAAAACUAUGCUUACUCGGUCAUGUACUGGCUUGAUGUCUAUGCAGUGCCGCCCGAAGUCAUUUAUCUUUGCCGCUGAGAAGUACGUACUCUACAGGACACUUAGACGAGUGACGGGAGAGCUCAAUUGGGUGAAGUCUGCUGAUC